Molecule: ribosomal RNA, 301 nt
Filed under: uncultured bacterium
Lineage: Bacteria
Description: partial 16S ribosomal RNA
Rfam family: Bacterial small subunit ribosomal RNA
Source: RNAcentral
CAGUAGCCGCGGGAAUACGAAGGUCCCAAGCGUUGUUCGGAAUCACUGGGCGUAAAGGGAGCGUAGGCGGCGUGGUAAGUCAGAUGUGAAAUCCCGGGGCUCAACCCCGGAACUGCAUCCGAUACUGUUAUGCUUGAGGGUUGGAGAGGUAGCUGGAAUUCUUGGUGUAGCAGUGAAAUGCGUGGAUAUCAAGAGGAACACUCGUGGCGAAGGCGAGCUACUGGACAACAUCUGACGCUGAGGCUCGAAGGCCAGGGUAGCGAAAGGGAUUAGAUACCCCAGUAGUCCCUGUCUCUUAUAC